CAGCAUUUUCCGCAAGGAAUCCAUGGCCGCCUGCACAGCCAGCGGAGCGCCCACGGGAGCUCCCCGCAGCCGCAAGCUGUUGCCGCGCGGUCUCACUACCCCUUGGCGCAGGCUAGAUCUCCUUUUACAGGUGACAAAAAUGAGGCUUACAGGUUAGGCCACUAGAUUAUACAAGUCAGUCAGCGCAGGGGUUUUGAUUCAGUUCCUGUCUGCUGCUUUUAGGAGCUCCAGUUAGUUGAAACUGGGGAAUGACCCAAUUGUACCUUCUCUUUUCAGCAUUCAUUUUGUGCUAAAUAUUGCGCACAUCAUUGUAUGUAAUCUCCGUAACUCCAAGUUAUUCUCACUCUGCAGAU
RNAcentral lists this long non-coding RNA (353 nucleotides) under Homo sapiens (human). Its description in RNAcentral is "non-protein coding lnc-C11orf98-2:1". The record is from RNAcentral. Lineage: Eukaryota; Metazoa; Chordata; Mammalia; Primates; Hominidae.